GCUUAACACAUGCAAGUCGAGGGGCAUCAGGAAGAAAGCUUGCUUUCUUUGCUGGCGACCGGCGCACGGGUGAGUAACACGUAUCCAACCUGCCCUUUACUCGGGGAUAGCCUUUCGAAAGAAAGAUUAAUACCCGAUAGCAUAAUGAUUCCGCAUGGUUUCAUUAUUAAAGGAUUCCGGUAAAGGAUGGGGAUGCGUUCCAUUAGGUUGUUGGUGAGGUAACGGCUCACCAAGCCUUCGAUGGAUAGGGGUUCUGAGAGGAAGGUCCCCCACAUUGGAACUGAGACACGGUCCAAACUCCUACGGGAGGCAGCAGUGAGGAAUAUUGGUCAAUGGGCGCUAGCCUGAACCAGCCAAGUAGCGUGAAGGAUGAAGGCUCUAUGGGUCGUAAACUUCUUUUAUAUAAGAAUAAAGUGCAGUAUGUAUACUGUUUUGUAUGUAUUAUAUGAAUAAGGAUCGGCUAACUCCGUGCCAGCAGCCGCGGUAAUACGGAGGAUCCGAGCGUUAUCCGGAUUUAUUGGGUUUAAAGGGAGCGUAGGUGGACUGGUAAGUCAGUUGUGAAAGUUUGCGGCUCAACCGUAAAAUUGCAGUUGAUACUGUCAGUCUUGAGUACAGUAGAGGUGGGCGGAAUUCGUGGUGUAGCGGUGAAAUGCUUAGAUAUCACGAAGAACUCCGAUUGCGAAGGCAGCUCACUGGACUGCAACUGACACUGAUGCUCGAAAGUGUGGGUAUCAAACAGGAUUAGAUACCCUGGUAGUCCACACAGUAAACGAUGAAUACUCGCUGUUUGCGAUAUACAGUAAGCGGCCAAGCGAAAGCAUUAAGUAUUCCACCUGGGGAGUACGCCGGCAACGGUGAAACUCAAAGGAAUUGACGGGGGCCCGCACAAGCGGAGGAACAUGUGGUUUAAUUCGAUGAUACGCGAGGAACCUUACCCGGGCUUAAAUUGCAGUGGAAUGAUGUGGAAACAUGUCAGUGAGCAAUCACCGCUGUGAAGGUGCUGCAUGGUUGUCGUCAGCUCGUGCCGUGAGGUGUCGGCUUAAGUGCCAUAACGAGCGCAACCCUUAUCUUCAGUUACUAACAGGUCAUGCUGAGGACUCUGGAGAGACUGCCGUCGUAAGAUGUGAGGAAGGUGGGGAUGACGUCAAAUCAGCACGGCCCUUACGUCCGGGGCUACACACGUGUUACAAUGGGGGGUACAGAAGGCAGCUAGCGGGUGACCGUAUGCUAAUCCCAAAAGCCUCUCUCAGUUCGGAUCGAAGUCUGCAACCCGACUUCGUGAAGCUGGAUUCGCUAGUAAUCGCGCAUCAGCCACGGCGCGGUGAAUACGUUCCCGGGCCUUGUACACACCGCCCGUCAAGCCAUGGGAGCCGGGGGUACCUGAAGUACGUAACCGCAAGGAUCGUCCUAGGGUAAAACUGGUGACUGGGGCUAAGUA
Molecule: ribosomal RNA, 1438 nt
Filed under: uncultured organism
Description: SSU rRNA
Rfam family: Bacterial small subunit ribosomal RNA
Source: RNAcentral